CGCGUAGGCGGUGUCGCAAGUCGGGUGUGAAAGCCCUCGGCUCAACCGGGGAAUUGCAUCCGAAACUGCGGUGCUAGAGUGUGGUAGGGGGGAGUGGAAUUCCUGGUGGAGCGGUGAAAUGCGUAGAUAUCAGGAGGAACGCCGGUGGCGAAGGCGACUCCCUGGCCCAUAACUGACGCUGAGUGCGCGAAAGCUGGGGGAGCAAACA
RNAcentral lists this ribosomal RNA (208 nucleotides) under uncultured bacterium. RNAcentral's name for it is "partial 16S ribosomal RNA". It matches the Rfam family "Bacterial small subunit ribosomal RNA", at positions 568 to 774 of the family's 1533-position model. The record is from RNAcentral.